Molecule: non-coding RNA, 1674 nt
Organism: Python bivittatus (Burmese python)
Lineage: Eukaryota; Metazoa; Chordata; Lepidosauria; Squamata; Pythonidae
Source: RefSeq, a predicted model, not a curated record
UAUUGGACUGCCCAGUGAAGAUCUACCCCAUAAGAAAAGCUCUUUAUUCACAACCUGAUUGCAUUUCUCUUAUUUUACUAAAAUACGUUGCUUUAGGACUAAUCAAAAACCAAAGUUUCUUUGGGCUGAGAUUAAAAGAUGCUACUUUAAGAAAGAAACACUGGAUCUCACUGCUUCAUUUUAUUAAGGACAACCCUCAUUACAUCCCAAAGGAAGACCUGCCAAAGGUCCUUCCCAGAUCCUGAAGGGUGGUCACCCAGGGAGGCUGCAGAUGGACUGAGAAAAUUGGCUCCCUCCAUACAACCAUGAGCACUCCAUAUCUUCGGGAAGGGAAGAGAAAAGAAGAGAAGUAUAUGUUGAGUCAUCAUGCUUCCAUCACAUCCCUGCAUGAAAAUCUCAAGACAGGAGUACCACUUUCCGAGUUCAUCCCUUUUAAAACUCUCUAUAUGAUGAGAUGGAUACGUGCUUCUUGGGAUGUGCGGCUUCCACCCAAAUUUUCAAUACAACAUCGUGGCUGAUGCCUCGGGCAAAGACACUUCCCAUAUAUUUUAACAGUCACCUUUUUCCAUCUCUGGAGAACGUUGAAUUAUAGAUGGGAACAAACUCUGCUGACAAGGUGUUGGCAUUAAGGAAAGCCCUACUCACUUUUGCUCUCUUCAGAAGGGUAAUGUGUGCCCUACUGUAUUGGGGAUGGGGAUUCCCACAUAAAUAUACUGCAAUAGAUCUAAUCCUUGACUGAUCCCCAGACUGCAGAAUUUUCUCUAACCAUUCUUCUCUUUCUGACCUUAACACUAACCCUGACCCUGUACCCUAUAGCCCAAUGAAGCUAGAUCCAGAUCAAGCAGUAAAUAAAAAUUAUGAUUUUUCUGCCUUUUAUUUUUAGUCCAGCAAAAGCAACAAGAGGGUAAAGAAUUAUGAUUUCACUGCUAAUGGUGUGACCCACCUCCAAGAGAAACUGUUGGAGAACUGCUCCUCCUUGGAGAAAUUCAUUGAAAACCCCUGAAGAUUUUCUGUGGUCAAAUAAUGGAAACAAUUCCACUCUUUGUCUACAAAGUCUGAAAACUGAUACAAUGAAUUGAGUCCACCAUGUUGGAACUCUGGACAACAUUCUUUAUAUGUUUAAUUUUCAUCCAUUUUCUCCCUAGGCACUCUGAGUUGUGUAGUUUUCCACCCAUUUAUUUCAUUACUUUGUUGGAUUUUUAAGGCCACCCAAUUCAGAAAUUACUCUGGGCAGCAUGCAAUAUUAAAAACAGAAUUAACAAGAAAGGGUAGCAACACAGCAGAACCAUUAAAUACCCCCAUAUAGGCAAAGACUCCACCAUCCAAAUUAACACAAGGCCUGGGGAAAAAAGAACAGUUUUAAGGGCUUUUUUAAAAUAAAGCAUAAGUGGGAGGCAUAUGGAUCUUGGAGGGAAUGGUCUUCCAUUUUCACAUCUAUCCUGUUGAAUGAGUCAAGCUAAGAGAACUAGUGGCCAAAUCUAAUUCUGAGUAUUGCCAAAAUAAGAUUUGAGUCCAGUCUUGUCAGUGGACUGUACUCACUCUCAGAGUCUGGGAGAUGGAGAAGGAAGGCUGGGGGACACACAAUUGAACCCUUUGCUAAAGCAGAGUCUUCUGGAGUAGGUGGCUAUAAUAAAGCAUGAUGAUGUUGAUGGUGAUGAUGAUGAUACAACUCUG